This 643-nucleotide ribosomal RNA is filed under the name uncultured bacterium. RNAcentral describes it as "bacterial SSU rRNA". It matches the Rfam family "Bacterial small subunit ribosomal RNA", at positions 232 to 885 of the family's 1533-position model. The record is from RNAcentral.
CGCGGCCUAUCAGCUUGUUGGUGGGGUAAUGGCCUACCAAGGCGACGACGGGUAGCCGGCCUGAGAGGGCGACCGGCCACACUGGGACUGAGACACGGCCCAGACUCCUACGGGAGGCAGCAGUGGGGAAUAUUGCGCAAUGGGCGGAAGCCUGACGCAGCGACGCCGCGUGAGGGAUGAAGGCCUUCGGGUCGUAAACCUCUUUCAGUAGGGAAGAAGCGUGAGUGACGGUACCUGCAGAAGAAGCACCGGCUAACUACGUGCCAGCAGCCGCGGUAAUACGUAGGGUGCAAGCGUUGUCCGGAAUUAUUGGGCGUAAAGAGCUCGUAGGCGGUCUGUCGCGUCUGCUGUGAAAACUCAGGGCUUAACCCUGAGCUUGCAGUGGGUACGGGCAGACUAGAGUGCGGUAGGGGAGACUGGAAUUCCUGGUGUAGCGGUGAAAUGCGCAGAUAUCAGGAGGAACACCGGUGGCGAAGGCGGGUCUCUGGGCCGUAACUGACGCUGAGGAGCGAAAGCAUGGGGAGCGAACAGGAUUAGAUACCCUGGUAGUCCAUGCCGUAAACGUUGGGCGCUAGGUGUGGGGACCUUUCCAUGGUUUCCGUGCCGCAGCUAACGCAUUAAGCGCCCCGCCUGGGGAGUACGG